Gasterosteus aculeatus aculeatus (three-spined stickleback) is the source of this 989-nucleotide long non-coding RNA. The record is from Ensembl. Lineage: Eukaryota; Metazoa; Chordata; Actinopteri; Perciformes; Gasterosteidae.
CGUUCCUGCCAGAGGGCUUCUACCCAGUGAGAUCAGGUGUCCCAGGAGACACACCUGGACCUCAUCUCCUCAUCAAGGAGUGGGGACAAAAAAGGACAAGCAGAGGAGACGUGUUGGGAGAGCAGCAGUAUCGCCAUGGAGCCGCAGCUGGCUGUAAAUGGACGCAGGAUGUCUUUGUUGAGUUGACGGGCGGGAAGGAGAGGUCGCUGUCUGUCAGCCGCCGGCUUUGUCUUGGGUCGGUCCGAGCGCCGGCCCGGGGACGGCCUCCGAUUGUGGGUCGCUUUUGCUCUUGGUUUUUAAAACUCUGUCAAUUACAGGGAGACGUGACUUUAUGUCUCCAUAUGGUGCGCGUUGUGUCCGGCAGCGGGGACGCAGAUUAGCAUUGGUAUGCUAACGUCGUUGAGCCCGGGCGAGGGUGGUAUUUGUAAUUGUGUGAGGGAUCAGAGUACUUUUUCCAUGACACUGGCAUGUAUGAAACAGAUGAUUUACUUCUCUUGUCCAGUUCCUAUUCUCUUUAUUUCAAACACGGCGUCUCUCAGAGACACACACACACACUUUAGUAUCUGGACACUCAUUGACGUAAGGAUCCUUGUGGCCACUUACCCAAAUCUUCACGGCGAGCUACCCGACCCUAAACCCUCACCGGAACCUUAAUCUGGACCUAAUUCUGACCUGAAACCUAAAACAGUCCUUUGAAGACGGACUAAAUGCCCUCACAAAGACAGCCGUGCUGGUACACAAACGCACACACUCUUGGAUAUAAGUUACUAAUAACCACAGAUCAACAGAAAAACGUUACUGCAGAUAUAAUUACUACUAACCUUUAAGGUGCUUCUUCAUAAUUUUUUUUGGAGCCAAAUAUUGUACAUUAUAAUCUGUUACACUUAUUGAAAUACUUCAAAUAACUUUUUUACUAGUUUCAAAAUGGAACCAAAAAGAUGUAAUAUUUUAGAUGAAGCUCAAACUUCACUGAAAUUCACACGAUUUUC